CCGUGUGUGAGCCAUACCAGGUGGAGGAGCCUCAAAGUAACUCCAGGCUGGCAUUAGAUGCCAUUGCUGUUUUGCGUUGCUUGUUCAGUUCUGGUCUGGAGUUUCUUCAUGUUGGUAAUUUUAGUUAGUUUGCAGAUUACUUUUGACUGCUAUGGCUGGUUCUACACCUGCAGAAUCAAGAUGACCAAUGGAAAAACUAAAACUUCAAAGGUUCGGAAGUUCGGGGUAGGUUAAAGGGAAACCUCACUUCAAUACAUGGACCAAGAUUUUGGCAAUUACUUUUAAUCUCAACUCUACCACUGAAUUUCAGGGACAAGUAGGAGGCCAAACGGGUUAGUUGAUGUGUAAAAUGUUUUACCUACCUGUGGGAUAUUUCGUAACCCUGUUUUAUAAUGUUUUUUUUAAUAUUGUAUUGUCAUUUACUCGUUUCAAUCAGUUCAAUAUGCGUUGGGCAAGAAACCUGGUGGAGACCGUGGUGCUAUGACAGCAAACAAAAGGACGGUCCAGAGAGGUGGUCGAGCAGUUUCAGCCUCCUGUGACGGUGGAAAUUACCAGCAGACUUUAGUGAUUUGAGUGAACGGGAAACUGCAAUCAAUGUUCGGAAAACAUUCCGGGUGGUUUUGUGAUUCCACGCAGGACGGUCCAGAGAAGACAACAGGCUCCUGCGUUGGGCUCUCUAGGAGCGGCCAAGCAACUGAGAACCUUUCUCAGUACUGCUUUUCAUGUCACGCUGUGAAAGUCUAAUAAAAUGUUAGAAGGCCUGACUGUUGGUUGGUUAACUACAUCUGCUGCUAAUAUGUACUGAACUAAUCCAGUCUUUAUCUGCGCUUUCCCAGUGUGUAAAAAGAUGCAUUCUUGUUAGUGUUUAAAUAUUUCUUGUUUGCUAAAGUACUGUUGUGCUACCACACAGGACGAUUCAGAUAACACUACAGGCUCCUGCUUCAGGGGCAAGCAGCUUUAGCCUCCUGUGGAACUUGCCCUAUGCUCCUGCCAAAUUAGCGAU
Molecule: non-coding RNA, 1003 nt
Organism: Gasterosteus aculeatus aculeatus (three-spined stickleback)
Lineage: Eukaryota; Metazoa; Chordata; Actinopteri; Perciformes; Gasterosteidae
Source: RefSeq, a predicted model, not a curated record